RNAcentral lists this ribosomal RNA (499 nucleotides) under uncultured bacterium. Its description in RNAcentral is "bacterial SSU rRNA". It matches the Rfam family "Bacterial small subunit ribosomal RNA", at positions 29 to 507 of the family's 1533-position model. The record is from RNAcentral.
ACGAACGCUGGCGGCGUGCCUAAUACAUGCAAGUCGAGCGGAAUGAUGAAGAAGCUUGCUUCUUCUGAUUUUAGCGGCGGACGGGUGAGUAACACGUGGGCAACCUACCUUGUAGAUUGGGAUAACUCCGGGAAACCGGGGCUAAUGCCGAAUAAUCCAUUUUGCUUCAUGGCGAGAUGUUGAAAGACGGUUUCGGCUGUCACUAUAAGAUGGGCCCGCGGCGCAUUAGCUAGUUGGUAGGGUAAUGGCCUACCAAGGCGACGAUGCGUAGCCGACCUGAGAGGGUGAUCGGCCACACUGGGACUGAGACACGGCCCAGACUCCUACGGGAGGCAGCAGUAGGGAAUCUUCCACAAUGGACGAAAGUCUGAUGGAGCAACGCCGCGUGAGUGAAGAAGGUUUUCGGAUCGUAAAACUCUGUUGUAAGGGAAGAACACGUACGAGAGUAACUGCUCGUACCUUGACGGUACCUUAUUAGAAAGCCACGGCUAACUACGUG